GAUGAACGCUGGCGGCGUGCCUAAUACAUGCAAGUCGAGCGAACGGACGAGAAGCUUGCUUCUCUGAUGUUAGCGGCGGACGGGUGAGUAACACGUGGAUAACCUACCUAUAAGACUGGGAUAACUUCGGGAAACCGGAGCUAAUACCGGAUGAUAUUUUGAACCGCAUGGUUCAAAAGUGAAAGACGUUCUUGCUGUCACUUAUAGAUGGAUCCGCGCUGCAUUAGCUAGUUGGUAAGGUAACGGCUUACCAAGGCAACGAUGCAUAGCCGACCUGAGAGGGUGAUCGGCCACACUGGAACUGAGACACGGUCCAGACUCCUACGGGAGGCAGCAGUAGGGAAUCUUCCGCAAUGGGCGAAAGCCUGACGGAGCAACGCCGCGUGAGUGAUGAAGGUCUUCGGAUCGUAAAACUCUGUUAUUAGGGAAGAACAUAUGUGUAAGUAACUGUGCACAUCUUGACGGUACCUAAUCAGAAAGCCACGGCUAACUACGUG
This 497-nucleotide ribosomal RNA is filed under the name uncultured bacterium. RNAcentral describes it as "partial 16S ribosomal RNA". It matches the Rfam family "Bacterial small subunit ribosomal RNA", at positions 28 to 507 of the family's 1533-position model. The record is from RNAcentral.